RNAcentral lists this ribosomal RNA (253 nucleotides) under uncultured bacterium. RNAcentral describes it as "partial 16S ribosomal RNA". It matches the Rfam family "Bacterial small subunit ribosomal RNA", at positions 524 to 776 of the family's 1533-position model. The record is from RNAcentral.
UACGUAGGGUGCGAGCGUUAAUCGGAAUUACUGGGCGUAAAGCGUGCGCAGGCGGUUCGUUAAGUCAGAUGUGAAAGCCCCGGGCUCAACCUGGGAACUGCAUUUGAAACUGGCGGGCUUGAGUAUGGCAGAGGGGGGUGGAAUUCCGCGUGUAGCAGUGAAAUGCGUAGAGAUGUGGAGGAAUACCGAUGGCGAAGGCAGCCCCCUGGGAUAGCACUGACGCUCAUGCACGAAAGCGUGGGGAGCAAACAGG